CAAAGAAUAGUUUAAGCAGAAUCCCAGCUUUGGGAGUUGGGGGUAGGGGUUAAAGCCCCUUUUCUUUGA
This 69-nucleotide transfer RNA is filed under the name Fundulus lima (killifish). RNAcentral describes it as "tRNA-Pro". It matches the Rfam family "tRNA". Rfam says of the family: Transfer RNA (tRNA) molecules are approximately 80 nucleotides in length. Their secondary structure includes four short double-helical elements and three loops (D, anti-codon, and T loops). The record is from RNAcentral. Lineage: Eukaryota; Metazoa; Chordata; Actinopteri; Cyprinodontiformes; Fundulidae.